GAUGAACGCUGGCGGCGUGCCUAAUACAUGCAAGUCGAGCGAACGGAUGAGAAGCUUGCUUCUCUGAUGUUAGCGGCGGACGGGUGAGUAACACGUGGAUAACCUACCUAUAAGACUGGGAUAACUUCGGGAAACCGGAGCUAAUACCGGAUAAUAUUUUGAACCGCAUGGUUCAAAAGUGAAAGACGGUCUUGCUGUCACUUAUAGAUGGAUCCGCGCUGCAUUAGCUAGUUGGUAAGGUAACGGCUUACCAAGGCAACGAUGCAUAGCCGACCUGAGAGGGUGAUCGGCCACACUGGAACUGAGACACGGUCCAGACUCCUACGGGAGGCAGCAGUAGGGAAUCUUCCGCAAUGGGCGAAAGCCUGACGGAGCAACGCCGCGUGAGUGAUGAAGGUCUUCGGAUCGUAAAACUCUGUUAUUAGGGAAGAACAUAUGUGUAAGUAACUGUGCACAUCUUGACGGUACCUAAUCAGAAAGCCACGGCUAACUACGUGCCAGCAGCCGCGGUAAUACGUAGGUGGCAAGCGUUAUCCGGAAUUAUUGGGCGUAAAGCGCGCGUAGGCGGUUUUUUAAGUCUGAUGUGAAAGCCCACGGCUCAACCGUGGAGGGUCAUUGGAAACUGGAAAACUUGAGUGCAGAAGAGGAAAGUGGAAUUCCAUGUGUAGCGGUGAAAUGCGCAGAGAUAUGGAGGAACACCAGUGGCGAAGGCGACUUUCUGGUCUGUAACUGACGCUAAUGUGCGAAAGCGUGGGGAUCAAACAGG
RNAcentral lists this ribosomal RNA (766 nucleotides) under Staphylococcus aureus. RNAcentral's name for it is "bacterial SSU rRNA". It matches the Rfam family "Bacterial small subunit ribosomal RNA", at positions 28 to 776 of the family's 1533-position model. The record is from RNAcentral. Lineage: Bacteria; Bacillati; Bacillota; Bacilli; Caryophanales; Staphylococcaceae.